CGACUCCUACGGGACGCAGCAGUGAGGAAUAUUGGUCAAUGGGCUUACGCCUGAACCAGCCAAGUCGCGUGAGGGAAGACUGCCCUAUGGGUUGUAAACCUCUUUUGUCAGGGAGCAACGCCGGCUACGUGUAGCCGGACUGAGAGUACCUGAAGAAAAAGCAUCGGCUAACUCCGUGCCGGCAGCCGCGGUAAUACGGAGGAUGCGAGCGUUAUCCGGAUUUAUUGGGUUUAAAGUGUGCGUAGGCGGAAUGCCAAGUCA
Molecule: ribosomal RNA, 261 nt
Filed under: uncultured bacterium
Lineage: Bacteria
Description: partial 16S ribosomal RNA
Rfam family: Bacterial small subunit ribosomal RNA
Source: RNAcentral